RNAcentral lists this ribosomal RNA (253 nucleotides) under uncultured bacterium. Its description in RNAcentral is "partial 16S ribosomal RNA". It matches the Rfam family "Bacterial small subunit ribosomal RNA", at positions 524 to 776 of the family's 1533-position model. The record is from RNAcentral.
AACGUAGGAGGCGAGCGUUAUCCGGAGUUACUGGGCGUAAAGCGUAUGUAGGUGGCAAGGCACGUCAAAUGUGAAAGCUCCUGGCUAAACCAGGAGAGGGCGUGUGAUACGGCCUGGCUAGAGGGUGAUAGAGGAGCGUAGAAUUCCGGGUGUAGUGGUGAAAUGCGUAGAUAUCAGGAGGAACACCAGUGGCGAAGGCGGCUUUCUGGACGGUAACUGACGCUGAGACGCGAAAGCGUGGGGAGCAAACAGG